RNAcentral lists this long non-coding RNA (1171 nucleotides) under Homo sapiens (human). RNAcentral describes it as "HSALNT0007779". Lineage: Eukaryota; Metazoa; Chordata; Mammalia; Primates; Hominidae. The record is from RNAcentral.
GCGAGACAGUUUUCUAGGCAGGGGAGUGGCAUGUGUACUGGAAUAUUGCAAUUACUGGCUUGGGUAGGGGGCAGUGCUGCGGAGACACACUCCUGUGGAUUAAGGAAAAAGGAAGGCAGAGGACAGAAAGAAAGUAAGGAAUGAAGGGCCUUGUCGGUUAAAGUAAGAAGUCUGAGCUUUAUCCUGAAAGCUAUGGGCAGCCAUGGUCAUUGGAAAAUUUGGAUCUUCCUGGGUGCAAGAAUGACCAUAAUGAGGCUCCUGGGACCAACCAUAGGUUAAAGAAAAACCAUCUGGUGCUGAGAAUCCAAAGGCAGCGGGAAAUCCUCAACAGGAACUGGAGAGGUUGGAGAAAUAAUAGAGCAGAAGCCACCUGGAAGCAGGGGCCCAAACAACAGGGCAGGUUGUUAGCUGCAUUGCACAUAGAAGGGUAGAAGAGGAAGAAUGAUUUUACUUCUUGACAAAGAAGAAGAAGGAAAGACGUCUGCAGGGUAAGCAUGUCUGGGAGUCCCUGCCACCUGCUGCCAUUCAUUUAAUCAUCCCUGGGAGCCGGACUGCAGGCCCUGUGCCAGGCUGUCAGCAGCAGAAACUGGCAAGGAGAGAGCUCACUCAGCAGCUAUUAGAUACCAGGGCCUGCCCACCAGUUACAGUGUGAACUGGGGACUGGAGGAACAGGAAGCAAUGGCUGAUCUCAGCAGUCAGCAGGAGGAAAAGUAAGGCAGAACUGAAAUGUAUGAUGUGUUUACUUUGUUAUCAGCACUGUGUCAUGCUAAGUACCUUUGAAAUGUCUCUUCUUCUCAUUCCUCGAAAUAGUCCUACUAAGUAGGUAUUACUUUCUUCAUUAUUGCCAAAGAAGAAACUAAGACCAAAAGAGUUUAAGUAAAUUGUUCAGUAGAUCUUGGACAUUAAACCAAUUUUGUCUGACUCAAAAUUCCACAUUAACUAUGAUUUUCCAGACUCAAUUCACUGGUGUUCCCUUUCAUAUUUCACCAUGUCUGCACAGCGCUUCUACUUUUAUUUAACCAUUUUUCUGCAAGUCAACACCCCUCCUUCUUAAAUUUUACUUUUGUAAAUGCAUUUUAAAAGGAAGAUGUAUAAUGCUACCAUAAAUGGAAAAGCAAUUUCACUUGCCAUAAGUAGAUGGUAAUAACAAAAAUAAAUAAAUGAAAACAAA